AAAAUGUAAUUGAUUUGAAUUGAGCCGUAGCACAGCGAGUUAUAUGAUAUGAACGGGUGCUCCCUGUUCAGGAAACUCGCUUUGUUUUAACUAACG
Long non-coding RNA from Sander lucioperca (pikeperch), 96 nucleotides. RefSeq lists it as uncharacterized. The transcript is spliced from 4 exons. NCBI's taxonomy places the organism in Eukaryota, Metazoa, Chordata, Actinopteri, Perciformes, Percidae. The record is from RefSeq and is a predicted model, not a curated record.